AUUGAACGCUGGCGGCAUGCCUUACACAUGCAAGUCGAACGGCAGCACGGGAGCUUGCUCCUGGUGGCAAGUGGCGAAACGGGUGAGUAAUACAUCGGAACGUACCCUGAAGUGGGGGAUAACGUAGCGAAAGUUACGCUAAUACCGCAUAUUCUGUGAGCAGGAAAGAGGGGGAUCGCAAAGACCUCUUGCUUUAGGAGCGGCCGAUGUCGGAUUAGCUAGUUGGUGAGGUAAAGGCUCACCAAGGCGACGAUCCGUAGCGGGUCUGAGAGGAUGAUCCGCCACACUGGGACUGAGACACGGCCCAGACUCCUACGGGAGGCAGCAGUGGGGAAUUUUGGACAAUGGGCGCAAGCCUGAUCCAGCCAUGCCGCGUGAGUGAAGAAGGCCUUCGGGUUGUAAGGC
This 405-nucleotide ribosomal RNA is filed under the name uncultured bacterium. Its description in RNAcentral is "bacterial SSU rRNA". It matches the Rfam family "Bacterial small subunit ribosomal RNA", at positions 30 to 431 of the family's 1533-position model. The record is from RNAcentral.